CUGAAUUUUAUUAUGUUGUUGGUAAAGAGCUUUUUACGUUUGAUGUAACAGCAUUGGAAAAAAAAAUCUCUUGUAAGCUUUAGCGAUCUAAAUCUUGCUGGUAAUUUAAAAAUGACUGUAUCUCCAGACAAAAAAUACGUACUGCUGCGUAAUGAUACUCAAAAUAUCCACCGGCAUUCUUCUCUCUUACACUUCGUCACUUUAUCAUUUACAACAUGUUAGAGAGGUCUUGGAAGAAUUUACAUAACGAGCGAAUUUCCUUGGCAUUUUGGACUCCAAAGAAUAAAGAAUAAUAGUACACUUGUAUACGUGCUGGACAAUAAUAUUUAUUACUAUGAUGUAAAAUAUGAUGAACACCGUCAAAUAACAAAGGACGGAAUAUAUCACACAAUUUAUAACGGAAUUUCUAAUUGGGUCUAUGAAGGUACGGCUUUUUACCUCAGAUUUUUAUAUUCUUUACAUCAAAUAGGCAAG
RNAcentral lists this long non-coding RNA (474 nucleotides) under Copidosoma floridanum. RNAcentral's name for it is "uncharacterized LOC106643025, transcript variant X2". Lineage: Eukaryota; Metazoa; Arthropoda; Insecta; Hymenoptera; Encyrtidae. The record is from RNAcentral.